CCGCGACCCCAGGUCAGGCGGGACUACCCGCUGAGUUUAAGCAUAUCA
This 48-nucleotide ribosomal RNA is filed under the name Dieteria canescens var. incana. RNAcentral describes it as "partial 28S ribosomal RNA". The record is from RNAcentral. Lineage: Eukaryota; Viridiplantae; Streptophyta; Magnoliopsida; Asterales; Asteraceae.